RNAcentral lists this ribosomal RNA (494 nucleotides) under uncultured bacterium. RNAcentral describes it as "partial 16S ribosomal RNA". It matches the Rfam family "Bacterial small subunit ribosomal RNA", at positions 899 to 1397 of the family's 1533-position model. The record is from RNAcentral.
ACUCAAAGGAAUUGACGGGGGCCCGCACAAGCGGUGGAGCAUGUGGUUUAAUUCGACGCAACGCGAAGAACCUUACCUGGGCUUGACAUCCCGCGAACAUCUAAGAGAUUAGGUUUCGGAGCAAUCCGACGCGGAGACAGGUGCUGCAUGGCUGUCGUCAGCUCGUGCCGUGAGGUGUUGGGUUAAGUCCCGCAACGAGCGCAACCCUUGUCGUGUGUUGGUCCACAAGAUCUCUCACACGAGACCGCCGGUGACAAGCCGGAGGAAGGUGGGGAUGACGUCAAGUCAGCAUGGCCCUUACGUCCAGGGCUACACACGUGCUACAAUGCGCGCGACAGCGAGUCGCGAACCCGCGAGGGUAAGCUAAUCUCUUAAACGCGCGCUCAGUUCGGAUUGAAGGCUGCAACUCGCCUUCAUGAAGUCGGAAUCGCUAGUAACCGCAGAUCAGCUACGCUGCGGUGAAUACGUUCCCGGGCCUUGUACACACCGCCCGU